Molecule: long non-coding RNA, 3624 nt
Organism: Mytilus californianus (California mussel)
Lineage: Eukaryota; Metazoa; Mollusca; Bivalvia; Mytilida; Mytilidae
Exons: 2
Source: RefSeq, a predicted model, not a curated record
GACACUUGCAGAAAAAAAAGUCAGGAUGACAAUUUAGGUAAAAAAAAGUCAGAAUAAACUUUAAAAAAAAAAAUGCAGGACCGAAUAGAGUGAAAAAUAAAAAAGGCAGGACAGAGAUUACAACUAAAAAAAAAUGCAGGACACAAUUUUUCAUCCUAGCCCCCCCCCCUAAAAAUCAAAUGGCAGCUUCCUAACAAAGAGUUCCAUUUCUUUUGUUAAAUUUCAACUGGGUUUCCGCCUAAUUAAAAUUGAAAAUAAGUAUACUGCAGAUAGUUAGUCUGCUUUUUGUUUUGACUUGCAUCUAAAAGUUGACAGUAGUGUCUGCUGGGAACAAAACUUCGAAUUUACGACCAAAUACAUUUUUUUGUAGAUCAUUUCAAUUUUCCAUUUGUGAGCUUUCCAAAUCUGUAUGCAGUAACAUGCCAGAAGCUCUUGUAUAUGGUUAACAUUGCCAAUCUAUGUGCAGUAACAGCUCUUGUCUAUUGUUUACAUUGCCAAUCUACGUGCAUUAACAUGCCAGAAGCUCUUCUACUAUGUUAACAUUGCCAAUCUACGUGCAUUAACAUGCAAGAAGCUCUUGUCUAUGGUAAACAUUGCCAAUCUAUGUGCAGUAACAUUUAUUCAUAAUAUUUCGUUCAUGACAGAAGUAUCCCCCAAGUAUCUUAUAAUGUAUUUACAGAAAACGUUUUGUCAGUGUUAUGUUCAAGACUGCAUUUUGUCAAUAUAUAUAACGUUGAUAAGCUAAAUAAAUAACAAUGUGUUUGCUUUAUCAAACGUGUACAAAAUUACAAUUUGUACACAACAUAAAUAUCUCUUAGUUGAUAAAUAUUCCCGUGCUUAUUCAUGAUUUCCGUGGUAAUGGGUUGUUGCUAAUAAAGAAGCUUUUGAACCGACAUUUCUUAAUGGUAAAGUUAAAUUAUUUGAUUUAACAACGAGGUAUAACGCCAGAUGGUGAUUCAGCAGAAAAACACAAUGUAAAAGGUGAUACAAUAAAAAAAUCCAAAUUGCAAUUACAUUAUUUAUGCUGAUAUAUGUGUGUAUUUAUUUUCAUGAUUAAACUGUCUGUUGACACCUAUAUGUGCCACUAGUGGAAGAUUUUUAUGUUAUUGAGUUGCUGAUGUCUCGUUGGCGUAUACCUCGCAUUACCUUGUGUUCCAUUGUAAAAGUGUUUAAUUCUGAUAUAAACCAUCAGAUUUGCCACGAAAAGUAUUUCUGAGAUAAAAAAUCAGUUGCGCCUAAACACAUCUUUCUAAAAUAAACCAACAGGUGCACCCCAACACGUGGUUCUGAAAAUAAACCAUUAGGUAAGCCAAGACAAAUAUUUCGGAAAUAACCAUUGAGCACCUCACCAUGUUUCUGAAAUAAACCAUCAGUUCCACCACGACAAGUUUUUUAAACAAAACGACCAGGUGAGUCACGACAAAUGUUUCUGAAGUCAACCAUCAGUUCCACCACGACCCGUGUUUUUUAACAAAUAUAUAAGGUGAGUCGCGAAAAAGGUUUCUGAAAAGACCAUCAGUUGCGCGCUACGUCGUGUUUCUGAAAUAAAUCAUUAGGUGCAAAACGAAAAGUGUUUCUGAAAUAACCAUCAGUUUCACCACGACAAGUAUUUCUGAACAAGACCACCAGGGGAGCCGCGAAAAAUGUUUUUGAAAUAAAUCAUUAGGUACAAAACGACACGUGUCUCUUAAAUAAACCAUCAGUUGCACCACUACACGUGUUUCUGAACAAAACCCAUUAGGUCCGCCACAACAAAGUUCUCUGUAAUGACCAUUAGGUCCGCCACAACAAAGUUCUCUUUAAUGACCAUUAUGUCCGCCACAACAAAAUUCUCUGUAAUGACAGGCGCGCCAUGACAAAUGUUUCAACGUCUUCCAAUAAAGUAAAAAAAAAACAUCAUUUGCACCACGACACGUUUUCGGAACGAAACCAACUAGCAACAACAAAUGUUUCACAACGCGUAUUUUGAAAAAAAACUGCCAAGGUGCUCCAGAGUCUUCAGAUUCGGGAAGCAAAAUACUUAAAAACUUAAAAGACAUCAAAAUGAUAGAAGGCAUAUGAUUCAAUGAUGGCGGAAGAUGCUCUAAUCUUUGAAUUGUUACCCCAAAAUAUGAAUUAGACUUUACAAAUAGUAGCACUGACUUUCAAAAUCCAAUUUUCCGAAAAGAGGGCAAAUCAUGAUUAUACCACCGAAACUUAGAGAGUUGCUUUAAAUCCCUACUACACCGCUUAUGAUUGGAUUUACGGUAAAUCUACAGUCAUGUUUAAUUUACAGAAAAGAUCGCGUUUCUAUAGUAAGACAUAGGACAUUGCUUUCAUUUUCUUGAAAUAAGCAUGUAAAUUGUAGACACAAAAGACUGGAACAGUGUAACGUACUUGGUAUGUGGCACUUCUACAUAUUCUGAUCAAAUGAAUAUUGAUGUAGGGUGGUCUUUAAAUUGGUUUGGAUUGAAUGUGAUUGUGUUUUCAAUCUAAUAGUUUUAAAAACUUUAAUGACAUUAUACUAAUGAAAUGAUUACAGCAGUCGUUUUUUGUUAGCUCAUCUAACCCAAAUGUCCAAGUGAACUUUUCUUAUUACUUGGCGUCCGUCGUCCGUCGUCGUCCGUUUACUUUUACAAAAAUCUUUUCCAUUGAAACUAUUGGGUCAAAGUCAACCAAACUUGGUCGACAUGGCAAAUAGAACAUAGAAUUUAUCUUGAAAACCGCUAUAAAUAGAGAAAAUCUGACAGACCUGAAAUUUUGAGAAUGUUAAAAUCUAUCAUUUACAUCAAAACUGUCAGACGACUAAUUAUAGGAGUUAUUACCCUUUGAUGCCGAAAUUUACUAUUUUUUUUUCAUUGUUGCGUAAUUUAUCUUGAAAACUAGAAUUAGAUAGAUAGACACUUUAAAUAGUAAAAGUGAUCAGCAAGGCAAAUUGAGUAUCUACAAAUAAGACCAAUUUUGUUGAAAUCCUUAGUAGACUCUUAUCGCCCCCUUUAUUGACUGCCCUUAAAUUACGAUUAUUUUACCUUUUUGUGUUUUGGGCAAAAGCUAAAAGAGAUAGAUAGAAACUGUAAACAGAAAAACUAUCAGCAAAACAAGAUAAAAUAAAAUAUUUUUGUCGUGAAUUCUAUUCUAGUUUACAAUGUUGGAGUGUGUACAUUGUGGAAGAUGUACAUAGACCUAGGUUAGCGACACAUCCAUUGAGUUUGGUCUUAUGUGACGUUUAAACUGUUUUAUUGCUAUGAAACUGUUCGAUUAUUUUAAAUGUGUAUGUUUUGAUUUAUUGUGACAGUUUUAUUAACGAGAAUUACCACCAAGGGCUUCGAGUGGCUCUCCUGAAUGUGUCUUUUGGAAAAUUCAAUUUUUAAAGAUUGGAAUACAAAUACUUCAGUUAAUUUUGAUAAAACAUGCCUCCAAAAAUUAAUUUAAAUCACGAUAGAGGACUUUUUCACGCACGGAGUCGAACUUGAAGAAAAUAUUCUACCAAUAAGUACUAAUGAAAGUAAAUAUUCUACCAAUAAGUUCUAAUAAAAGUAAAUAUUCUACCAAUAAGUACUAAUAACAGUAACGAUUCUAUACAGAACCUGAUAAUAAACGUUUCUAAAAAAACAUUUUUCAGCUGUGAUAUGAAGUGCAAAAACA